This 69-nucleotide transfer RNA is filed under the name Ictidomys tridecemlineatus (thirteen-lined ground squirrel). RNAcentral describes it as "Spermophilus tridecemlineatus (thirteen-lined ground squirrel) tRNA". It matches the Rfam family "tRNA". From Rfam's summary of the family: Transfer RNA (tRNA) molecules are approximately 80 nucleotides in length. Their secondary structure includes four short double-helical elements and three loops (D, anti-codon, and T loops). Lineage: Eukaryota; Metazoa; Chordata; Mammalia; Rodentia; Sciuridae. The record is from Rfam by way of RNAcentral.
GGGGCUGCAGCUCAGGGGUAGAGCGCUUGCCUCGCAGGCACGAGGCCCUGGGUUCGGUUCCCAGCACCA